RNAcentral lists this ribosomal RNA (253 nucleotides) under uncultured bacterium. RNAcentral describes it as "partial 16S ribosomal RNA". It matches the Rfam family "Bacterial small subunit ribosomal RNA", at positions 524 to 776 of the family's 1533-position model. The record is from RNAcentral.
UACAGAGGGUGCGAGCGUUACUCGGAAUUACUGGGCGUAAAGAGCGCGCAGGCGGUCGUUCAAGUCGCGUGUGAAAGCCCCCGGCUCAACUGGGGAGGGUCACGCGAUACUGAUCGACUCGAAGGCAGGAGAGGGUAGUGGAAUUCCCGGUGUAGUGGUGAAAUGCGUAGAUAUCGGGAGGAACACCAGUGGCGAAGGCGACUACCUGGCCUGUUCUUGACGCUGAGGCGCGAAAGCUAGGGGAGCAAACGGG